Molecule: long non-coding RNA, 3055 nt
Filed under: Homo sapiens (human)
Lineage: Eukaryota; Metazoa; Chordata; Mammalia; Primates; Hominidae
Description: long non-coding RNA NONHSAT205044.1
Source: RNAcentral
UACAUAAACAAUAGGGCAGAGGAAGCAAUCGGAUAGGCAUUUGCUUCAGGUGAGCAGAGGGAUGACUUUCUGUCCCACAUCUGUGAAGAUCAGCUGUUGGUUUACAUUGCCAGGGUGAAAUUCAACAGAACUAAUUUAGGGUGAAGAUCUUGAGGCCCACAAGGAAUUUCCUUGUGGGAAAAUUGUGAGGAAAUUCUUGGAGGCUGAAAGAACACAUGGAGAGCAGUGUUUUUCCAGCUUCUGUGUUGGUAAGAGCCUGGAGUCUCUCUCUCUGUCUCUCUCUCUCUCUCUCUCUCUCUCUCUAUCACACACACACACACACACACACACACACACACACAGAGCAAUCACUGCACCCAGCCACCUCUAUAUACAUGUACACAAAGCCACACAGUUUACACAGUCACAGGUAUUUAAGUACACACUAUUCACACACAAAUACAUAUAUAGACACACAUGUACAGUCCGUCCAAAAUAUAUGUACAUAAAAGCACACUAUUACACCUUCAUAUGUGCACACACACACACACCCAGACUCACUUCAUACACACAUAGAUACAACAGCCACAGCUCCCCAUCACCUACACACACACACACACACCUGGACACCCAGCUCUAAUAUAAUCAGAUAGAGAUAUGCAUGCAGACAAAUUUGCCUGUAUAGUCAAACACAUAGGCAAAUAGAGAACGAGACACCACAUGAACAAAGGCAAACCUACACACAAAGACACAGAGCACACUUACGCAUAUAUCUAUAGACCCACCAUGGCACAUAUGGGUAAGUGCACACAGGCAAACUCACACACACGAGCAUGCACAGGCAGAGAACACAAAUGUACACUCCCAGGUGUCAUAAAGAACAGCCCAGCUUCGGCUUGGGAACGUCACAUCAGACAAUAGGAACGGCUGCACCGCGCGUUUCCUCGGCUGCCAGCUUCCCAGCCACAGAGGAUGCCUCACCUGCUAUGUCAGCUCCCCUCUGCCCCACCUCACAAGAAGCUCAGAAGCUGAGGAGUCACAGAGAGACCUCCCUACUGUGUCAGAGGAAUAGGUCCUUCUGUCACGGGGCACAGGACCCUUGACCGCAAAAUGACGUGAGUUACCACUGACUAUUUUCUGGGUCUUGAUCUUGUGACUCCAAAUGGAUGGUAAGCUCCUUAAGGGAAAGUCUAUGAUAUUCAUCCAACCACCCAUCCAUCCUUUCAUCCACCCAACCAUCCAUCCAUCUGACCAUCAUCCAUCCAUCCAUCCAUCCAUCUAUCCAUCUUCUAUCCAUCUGUCUACUCACCCAUCCACCCAUCCAUUCAAUUAUUCAUCCAUCCCUCUUCCAUCCAUUCACCCAUCUUCCAUCCAUCUGUCCACCCAUCCAUUCCACCAUUUAUCCAUCCAACCACCAUCUAUUCAUCCAACCACUCGUCUAUUCAUCCCUCUGACCAUCCAACCAUCCAUCGAUUUGUUCAAUUAUUUUAUCAAGCAUCUACACUGCACCACACACCCUAAUGGGUGUUGGGGAGAAAAUGGAGAGUAAAAUCAGAUGGGACCUCUGACCUCAGUGCGGCUGACCAUCAGUCCGGUAGAGGAGACACGUAAACUGACAAUUAUAAAUAAACACAAUGUGUCAACUCUGACAAGUGCUGUGAGGGAGAAAUCAGCAGUACUGAGAAAGCCUUUAUGGUCCUGGUGUGAGAGGUGGGAUGAGCCCAACACAGCAACAACAGCAAGACCAUGGGGGAGUGUGGUGCAGAUGGGCAGGUGUACAGAGCAUGCAGGCCAUGUCUGCCAGCCCUCUCUUUGUGCAUUAGCAACAGUAAAACGGGGCUUGUGUUUGGGCAGAUUAUACCACUGGUCUUGCAUCCCAAAUGUCUCUUUGUUCACUCGUUUAUACAAACAUGCUCAAUAAUAUUUAUGCAUUUUUACUGUGACAUCAUUUUCUUAUAUAAUAAAAGUGCCUAUUUAUAUACCGUAUAUGUAUAUAUAUAAUACACAGAUGCACACACACAAGCACACAUGCACAGAGCUUCUUGACAGUCAGUCCCUCAUAAGGUAGUCCACUGAAGUGCAGUCAUCACCAUCCUCAGACCUCAUGAUUAUAUAACUAGAGCACCUUAUAUUUUUAUAUUUUAUUAUGUAUUUAAUAAUCACAUAACUCUUUAGUGAAUGCCAAUUAAUUAGGAGAAUGACAUGCCUUCUCUCUGCUCCUCAUAAUAUCCCCCUUAGAUAGGUUUUAUCUCCCCACUUACAAGAUGUGGAGACUGGGCCGGGCACGGUGACUCACGCCUGUAAUCCCAGCACUUUGGGAGGAUGAGGCGGGUGGAUCACAUGAGAUCAGGAGUUUGAGACCAUCCUGGCCAACAUGACAAAACCGUCUCCUCUAAAAAUACCAAAAUUAGCUGGGACUGGUGGCACGUUCCUUUAAUCCCAGCUACUCGGGAGGUUGAGGCAGGAGAAUUGCUUGAACCCAGGAGGCAGAGGUUGUAGUGAGCCAAGAUCGUGCCACUGCACUCCAGCCUUGGUGACAGAGCAAGACUCUGUCUCAAAAAACAAACAAACACAGGUACAGCUUGAGCAAAGACACAGAAGCAGAAGGCAGGUUUUUGGUUCCAUGAACUCUACAUCUGGCUACAUACAAAUGGUGAAGAGGAACAGGGAGAAACAUGGUUGAAAAGAACAGGCUUGGACUUCAGGAAGCAGUAAAAUGAGCGAAUGCCAUUUAUGGUUACAAAGAUAACUCAGCUGGGGGCCAAACAGAGACUGAAAUGGAGUGGGUGAGGAUGGAGGCCGGGAGGAGAUGGCGGUCUCCAGGACACAUGUGCAUGAGUUCCUCUAGGAAACCACGGUGUACAACUGCUGGGUUGCAGGCCCAGGGUUCUUUCCACUUCUCUAUCCUCCCAAGUAGGGUCCAGCUGGCCUUAGUGCUGCCAUGCUGAGAGCUCUGGGAGGGGCAACCCAGGGCAGACAGGCCCAGGCCAGCCACCCUGCCCCAGGCAUUUCCCAGGACUCAUCAGGCACCCAGCGGCCCCUCAGCAGUGAGCAAUACCAGAAAUCUGCCAGCUGG